Molecule: ribosomal RNA, 465 nt
Filed under: uncultured bacterium
Lineage: Bacteria
Description: partial 16S ribosomal RNA
Rfam family: Bacterial small subunit ribosomal RNA
Source: RNAcentral
GACGAACGCUGGCGGCGUGCUUAACACAUGCAAGUCGAACGGAAAGGCCCUGCUUGCCGGGUACUCGAGUGGCGAACGGAUGAGUAACACGUGGGUGAUCUGCCCUGCACUUCGGGAUAAGCCUGGGAAACUGGGUCUAAUACCGGAUAGGAGCCAUUUUUAGUGUGAUGGUUGGAAAGUUUUUUCGGUGUAGGAUGAGCUCGCGGCCUAUCAGCUUGUUGGUGGGGUAAUGGCCUACCAAGGCGGCGACGGGUAGCCGGCCUGAGAGGGUGGACGGCCACAUUGGGACUGAGAUACGGCCCAGACUCCUACGGGAGGCAGCAGUGGGGAAUAUUGCACAAUGGGCGCAAGCCUGAUGCAGCGACGCCGCGUGGGGGAUGACGGCCUUCGGGUUGUAAACUCCUUUCGCUAGGGACGAAGCUUUUUGUGACGGUACCUAGAUAAGAAGCACCGGCUAACUACGUG